GGGCUUGUACUGGUUUCGACAGGCCGGCUGAAGACGGUGAAGCUAUCCGUGGACUGUGACCACGUUAAAACACAGACAUAAAAUUAAACGCUGAUAAUAAUAAAUUAGCAUACGCUGCCUAAUUAUGGCGGCUGCCGGAUGUAAGCGUCCUACAACUUAGAUUCGGUAUCAUCCUUUGUAGGGAACCUUAUCUGUUAAGUUUUGCGCAGAUAAGAGAUCUUAUGAAACUACCGAUUUUAGGUGGCUGUCUGUUUCCGCCUGAAUGAGGGAAGGGCUUUUCGUUUGAAAAGCGCAAUAACAGACUAUGAUAGUAGAAGAACGUGGGAUUCCGGUUUGGACGCGGGUUCGACUCCCGCCAGGUCCACU
This 366-nucleotide transfer-messenger RNA is filed under the name uncultured Eubacterium sp. It matches the Rfam family "transfer-messenger RNA". Rfam says of the family: Bacterial tmRNA, also known as 10Sa RNA or SsrA, is named for its dual tRNA and mRNA-like properties. Lineage: Bacteria; Bacillati; Bacillota; Clostridia; Eubacteriales; Eubacteriaceae. The record is from RNAcentral.